Non-coding RNA from Dipodomys ordii (Ord's kangaroo rat), 58 nucleotides. The record is from Rfam. NCBI's taxonomy places the organism in Eukaryota, Metazoa, Chordata, Mammalia, Rodentia, Heteromyidae.
UGACUCAGUGGUAGAGUGCUUGCCUCACAUGCAUGAGGCCCUGGGUUCGAUUCCUCAG